RNAcentral lists this small nuclear RNA (104 nucleotides) under Procavia capensis (Cape rock hyrax). Lineage: Eukaryota; Metazoa; Chordata; Mammalia; Hyracoidea; Procaviidae. The record is from RNAcentral.
GUGCUCACUUUGGCAGCACAUAUACUAAAAUUGGAACGAUACAGAGAUUAGCAUGGCCCCUGUGCAAGGAUGACAUGCAAAUUCGUGAAGCAUUCCUUAUUUUU